This 1112-nucleotide long non-coding RNA is filed under the name Taeniopygia guttata (zebra finch). RNAcentral describes it as "lncRNA (ENSTGUG00000018778.1)". The record is from RNAcentral. Lineage: Eukaryota; Metazoa; Chordata; Aves; Passeriformes; Estrildidae.
CCUAAAUCAAAUAUUGGGGUGUCCCCCCCCCGUAAAUGUGAUGCCACCCCAAAAUAUGACCCCCCCCCCAAAUUUUGGGACCCCCCCAAAUUUGGGGACACCCCUAAACGGGAGAAAAAAAACCCAAAAUUGGGUCGAAAUCUUGAAUUUUUGGGGUUUUCUCCUCAAUUUCUCUCCAAAAAUUGGGGUCUGACCCCAAAAUUUGGGGUGACCCCCCCUUAAAUUUGGGGUGACCUUCCUUAAAUGUGACCCCCCCCCCAAAAUUUGACCCCUCCCAGAUUUGGGGACACCCCGAAAUGUGAAAAAACAAAAAAAAAUGGAUCAAAAUGUUGAAUUUUUGGGUUUUUCUCCUCGAUUUCAACCCCCCCACCCCCCAAAUUUGGGGUGACCCCCCCUAAAUUUGACCCCCCCCAAAAAUUUGACCCCUCCCAGAUUUAGGGACACCCCGAAAUGUGAAAAAAAACCCCAAAAAAUUGAGCAAAAUGUUGAAUUUUUGGGUUUUUCUCCUCGAUUUCCCCUCCCCCCCCCGUGUCUAUUUUUGGGUCCCGCGGUGGGGGAGGGGCGCAGCUGCUGUGGUCACUCUGUGGUCACUCUGUGGUCACUCUGUGGUCACUCUGUUGUGGUCACUCGGUGCUGGUCACUCUCUGCUGGUCACUCCGUGGUCACUCCGUGGUCAGUGGUCACUCAGUGGUCACUCAGCGGUCACUCUGUGGUCACUCAGUGGUCACUCAGCGGUCACUCCGUGGUCAUUCAGCACUGGUCACCCAGCGGUCACUCCGUGGUCAUUCUGACGUCACUCUGAGGUCACUCAGCACCGGUCACUCAGCGGUCACUCAGCGGUUACUCAGUGGUCACUCCGUGGUCACUCAGCGGUCACUCGGUGGUCACUCAGUGGUCACUCCGUGGUCACUCAGCGGUCACUCAGCGGUCACUCCGAGGUCUCUCAGCGGUCACUUCGUGGUCAUUCGGCACUGGUCACUCAGCAGUCACUCCGUGGUCACUCCGUGGUCACUCCGUGGUCAUUCUGAUGUCAUUCUGAGGUCACUCAGCAGUCACUCAGCGGUCACUCAGCGGUCACUCAGCGGUCACUCUGAUGUCACUCUGAAGUCUCU